AUGUUUUCGCAGGGCGCCGCCGACGUUCCUUGCACUCUCUUGCUCUUUGUGGGCGACGAGUUGGUCGAUGUUGCCAAGGGCAAAAUCGUUCAACCAGGCAACCCCGUGUUCCACGGUAAUCCGAUGCCACCCACAGUGUAUAGGGUUGAACUGGUUCGGGUGCUGCCAGGCUGCGACGAGCUGUUACCUCCGAUUCGACCCGCUGGGGCCGACGAAGAAGAUGAGAUGACCCUCAGCGCCUGCGUAAACUGGCCCCUGCUUUGGCCAAAGAGCCAGAUUCGUUUGGGGGCGGGGGACACCACCCCACAGACAAGACCGCCAGUCGUGCCGGCGCCAAGCCAUGGCAAGAACGCCGCAACGCUAUCGGACAUGUCGGACAUCCCUAUGGCACAGGAUCCGGACAUGCAUAUCGCACAGGAUCCGAACGACGACGACAGUGACGACGGUACAUUUACCAAUGUGGAUAAGUACUUUGCCGAACAUGGGUACGGUGACGAGUUCUGCGGGGGUCCUUCUCAAGAACCCAACCAAGACGACCGCGAUCUAGCUGGUACGGCGGAGAAAUCCAAUUGCAACAGGCGUCGUCUGGCGUUCGGUUCUCAUGAGACGCCUCCAGCUCCCGCCUUCACCGAGCCUCAGAUAGCUGAGGUGCGAAAUAUUAUCAGCCCCAACACGCUCAAGAAGGAGGUCUGUGAGCAGAACUCAGUCCCAUUACACCAGAUCAAGAAGAAGGGACGGAAACGAAAGACUAACAAGGGCGCCGGUGCGAGCCAGCCGGCACCGAGUACGAUCCGUGCUCAGGACGGGCCUCCUUCACCUAAGGAUAUCUCGAGGAGGGUGCAUGUGGCGGGUAGGGCGAUGCUACCGAUAAAUAUGCUCAAUGCUGCAACCGGUGCUAUGCGGAAUCUGCAUGACAGUGUUCUUUCUUUGGAGAAGAUGUGUCUCCCCAGAAUGAUGUGGCAUACCCGAUUUUCAUGGCCAAGGUGCCAGAGGGCAAGGGCUUUGUGGAUGGCGCCAUGGGGGGUACGAUCGUCCUGCGGUUUGAUGACAUCUUUGCUAUGUUUAAUCUUCAUCCGCUGCACUACACCUUCGUUCGGCUGUUUUCGCUGA
This 1110-nucleotide ribosomal RNA is filed under the name Triticum aestivum (bread wheat). RNAcentral describes it as "partial small subunit ribosomal RNA". Lineage: Eukaryota; Viridiplantae; Streptophyta; Magnoliopsida; Poales; Poaceae. The record is from RNAcentral.